This 253-nucleotide ribosomal RNA is filed under the name uncultured bacterium. Its description in RNAcentral is "partial 16S ribosomal RNA". It matches the Rfam family "Bacterial small subunit ribosomal RNA", at positions 524 to 776 of the family's 1533-position model. The record is from RNAcentral.
UACGGAGGAUCCGAGCGUUAUCCGGAUUUAUUGGGUUUAAAGGGAGCGUAGGUGGAUUGUUAAGUCAGUUGUGAAAGUUUGCGGCUCAACCGUAAAAUUGCAGUUGAAACUGGCAGUCUUGAGUACAGUAGAGGUGGGCGGAAUUCGUGGUGUAGCGGUGAAAUGCUUAGAUAUCACGAAGAACUCCGAUUGCGAGGGCAGCUCACUGGACUGCAACUGACACUGAGGCUCGAAAGUGUGGGUAUCAAACAGG